Molecule: long non-coding RNA, 474 nt
Organism: Ruditapes philippinarum (Manila clam)
Lineage: Eukaryota; Metazoa; Mollusca; Bivalvia; Venerida; Veneridae
Exons: 2
Source: RefSeq, a predicted model, not a curated record
UAAACGAGGGAAAAAUCAAAAUGGCUGAAAAAUGAAAGUGCUUGUUUAUUGGACUUUGGCGAACAACUGGUCGUUUGUCAGCACUGCCGCUGAUCGGGGAGGGUCAAUGCCUGGGACAAGAACAUUUUGCAAGUUCCAGGAGAAAUGGUAUCCUGCUAUACCCAUCGCAUGUUUGCAACAUUUGAUCAUCUGGAGGAUUCCUGGAGAGGUAUGUUCUUCACCAUCGAAGAAAUUCAAAACCAUAGUGCAACUGGUAAAAAGGCCAACAAAGACCAAGUUUGAUCCUGCCAAAUUUAACUUAAUCAGCAAGCUCGUUCAGAAACAUUUUGAUAUCAGGAAGUGGUCAUUAAGACACAAAAUGUGAAGCAGUUAGUAUUCCAAGUGACAAUGUAAAUCAAGUAUUGACAUAAUGAAAAUUACUUUUGUGCUGAAAAAAAAGAAAGAAAAGAAAUAAAAAAGAAUUGUGUCCAGGGU